GGUUAAGUUAGAAAGGGCGCACGGUGGAUGCCUUGACACUAGGAGUCGAUGAAGGACGGGACUAACGCCGAUAUGCUUCGGGGAGCUGUAAGUAAGCUUUGAUCCGAAGAUUUCCGAAUGGGGAAACCCACCAUACGUAAUGGUAUGGUAUCCUUAUCUGAAUACAUAGGGUAAGGAAGACAGACCCAGGGAACUGAAACAUCUAAGUACCUGGAGGAAGAGAAAGCAAAUGCGAUUUCCUGAGUAGCGGCGAGCGAAACGGAACAUAGCCCAAACCAAGAGGCUUGCCUCUUGGGGUUGUAGGACAUUCUAUACGGAGUUACAAAGGAACGAGGUAGACGAAGCGACCUGGAAAGGUCCGUCGUAGAGGGUAACAACCCCGUAGUCGAAACUUCGUUCUCUCUUGAAUGUAUCCUGAGUACGGCGGAACACGUGAAAUUCCGUCGGAAUCUGGGAGGACCAUCUCCCAAGGCUAAAUACUCCCUAGUGAUCGAUAGUGAACCAGUACCGUGAGGGAAAGGUGAAAAGCACCCCGGAAGGGGAGUGAAAGAGAUCCUGAAACCGUGUGCCUACAAAUAGUCAGAGCCCGUUAACGGGUGAUGGCGUGCCUUUUGUAGAAUGAACCGGCGAGUUACGAUCCCGUGCGAGGUUAAGCUGAAGAGGCGGAGCCGCAGCGAAAGCGAGUCUGAAUAGGGCGUUUAGUACGUGGUCGUAGACCCGAAACCAGGUGAUCUACCCAUGUCCAGGGUGAAGUUCAGGUAACACUGAAUGGAGGCCCGAACCCACGCACGUUGAAAAGUGCGGGGAUGAGGUGUGGGUAGCGGAGAAAUUCCAAUCGAACCUGGAGAUAGCUGGUUCUCCCCGAAAUAGCUUUAGGGCUAGCCUUAAGUGUAAGAGUCUUGGAGGUAGAGCACUGAUUGGACUAGGGGUCCUCAUCGGAUUACCGAAUUCAGUCAAACUCCGAAUGCCAAUGACUUAUCCUUAGGAGUCAGACUGCGAGUGAUAAGAUCCGUAGUCAAAAGGGAAACAGCCCAGACCGCCAGCUAAGGUCCCAAAGUGUGUAUUAAGUGGAAAAGGAUGUGGAGUUGCUUAGACAACUAGGAUGUUGGCUUAGAAGCAGCCACCAUUUAAAGAGUGCGUAAUAGCUCACUAGUCGAGUGACUCUGCGCCGAAAAUGUACCGGGGCUAAAUACACCACCGAAGCUGCGGAUUGAUACCNNNNNNNNNNNNNNNNNNNNNNNNNNNNNNNNNNNNNNNNNNNNNNNNNNNNNNNNNNNNNNNNNNNNNNNNNNNNNNNNNNNNNNNNNNNNNNNNNNNNAAGGCUGAGCUGUGAUGGGGAAGCUCCUUAUGGAGCGAAGUCUUUGAUUCCCCGCUGCCAAGAAAAGCUUCUAGCGAGAUAAAAGGUGCCUGUACCGCAAACCGACACAGGUAGGCGAGGAGAGAAUCCUAAGGUGUGCGAGAGAACUCUGGUUAAGGAACUCGGCAAAAUGACCCCGUAACUUCGGGAGAAGGGGUGCUUUCUUAACGGAAAGCCGCAGUGAAUAGGCCCAAGCGACUGUUUAGCAAAAACACAGCUCUCUGCGAAGCCGUAAGGCGAAGUAUAGGGGGUGACACCUGCCCGGUGCUGGAAGGUUAAGGAGAGGGGUUAGCGUAAGCGAAGCUCUGAACUGAAGCCCCAGUAAACGGCGGCCGUAACUAUAACGGUCCUAAGGUAGCGAAAUUCCUUGUCGGGUAAGUUCCGACCCGCACGAAAGGUGUAACGAUUUGGGCACUGUCUCAACCAGAGACUCGGUGAAAUUAUAGUACCUGUGAAGAUGCAGGUUACCCGCGACAGGACGGAAAGACCCCGUGGAGCUUUACUGUAGCCUGAUAUUGAAUUUUGGUACAGUUUGUACAGGAUAGGCGGGAGCCAUUGAAACCGGAGCGCUAGCUUCGGUGGAGGCGCUGGUGGGAUACCGCCCUGACUGUAUUGAAAUUCUAACCUACGGGUCUUAUCGACCCGGGAGACAGUGUCAGGUGGGCAGUUUGACUGGGGCGGUCGCCUCCUAAAGUGUAACGGAGGCGCCCAAAGGUUCCCUCAGAAUGGUUGGAAAUCAUUCGUAGAGUGCAAAGGCAUAAGGGAGCUUGACUGCGAGACCUACAAGUCGAGCAGGGACGAAAGUCGGGCUUAGUGAUCCGGUGGUUCCGCAUGGAAGGGCCAUCGCUCAACGGAUAAAAGCUACCCCGGGGAUAACAGGCUUAUCUCCCCCAAGAGUCCACAUCGACGGGGAGGUUUGGCACCUCGAUGUCGGCUCAUCGCAUCCUGGGGCUGUAGUCGGUCCCAAGGGUUGGGCUGUUCGCCCAUUAAAGCGGUACGCGAGCUGGGUUCAGAACGUCGUGAGACAGUUCGGUCCCUAUCCGUCGUGGGCGUAGGAAAUUUGAGAGGAGCUGUCCUUAGUACGAGAGGACCGGGAUGGACGCACCGCUGGUGUACCAGUUGUUCUGCCAAGGGCAUAGCUGGGUAGCUAUGUGCGGAAGGGAUAAGUGCUGAAAGCAUCUAAGCAUGAAGCCCCCCUCAAGAUGAGAUUUCCCAUAGCGUAAGCUAGUAAGAUCCCUGAAAGAUGAUCAGGUUGAUAGGUUCGAGGUGGAAGCAUGGUGACAUGUGGAGCUGACGAAUACUAAUAGAUCGAGGACUUAACCAU
Molecule: ribosomal RNA, 2681 nt
Filed under: Bacillus cereus
Lineage: Bacteria; Bacillati; Bacillota; Bacilli; Caryophanales; Bacillaceae
Also listed under: 1 other name
Description: 23S ribosomal RNA
Rfam family: Bacterial large subunit ribosomal RNA
Source: RNAcentral